GUAUUGGUCAAUACGCAGCGUAUAUAAACCAUUAGAUUUUUUGGGUCAUUUUGGUAGGUUUGAGGGAAAUUUUUUCACAAAGUUUAAAUACGCUGCGUAUUGACCUCUAAGGAGCGUAUAUAGAGGUCUGAAAAUGUCUUUUAUACCCUUGUCUGAAAAUGUCUUUUAUACCCUUGUGUUCAGGCUAUACGAAGCCAAAUACAAGGGUAGUUGUGUCAUUUUGGUCUCAUACGCUGCGUAGGGACCUCUAAGGAGCGUAUAUAAAGCUCCAUUUUUGUAUUUUUUAUUGUGUAUUCCUUUGUUUAUUUAUAAAAAAAAAGAAAAUUAUUUAUAAAAAAACAAUAUUAUUGGUAAAUAAUACAAAUAUAAAUUAUAAAAAUAAAAAUAAUAUAAAUAUUAUGAAUUAUAAAAAUUAAAAAAGAAAAUUAUUUAUAAAAAAAAC
RNAcentral lists this long non-coding RNA (442 nucleotides) under Helianthus annuus (common sunflower). RNAcentral describes it as "hypothetical non coding rna". The record is from RNAcentral. Lineage: Eukaryota; Viridiplantae; Streptophyta; Magnoliopsida; Asterales; Asteraceae.